RNAcentral lists this ribosomal RNA (235 nucleotides) under uncultured bacterium. Its description in RNAcentral is "partial 16S ribosomal RNA". It matches the Rfam family "Bacterial small subunit ribosomal RNA", at positions 1258 to 1500 of the family's 1533-position model. The record is from RNAcentral.
UGACCGGAUGCCGAUCUCGAAAACCUGUCCCAGUUCGGACUGGAGUCUGCAACCCGACUCCACGAAGUUGGAUUCGCUAGUAAUCGCGCAUCAGCCAUGGCGCGGUGAAUACGUUCCCGGGCCUUGUACACACCGCCCGUCAAGCCAUGGGAGCCGGGGGCGCCUGAAGUCCGGGACCGCGAGGACCGGCCUAGGGCGAAACUGGUGACUGGGGCUUAAGUCGUAACAAGGUAAC